CCAGAGUGAUCCGAUCCCACUUUGAAUCUUCUCUUGAAUAUUUUCUCCACUUCAAGUGACGCUUCGGUUCCCGUGGAGAAGUUCAUGAGGGUUUCCACUAUGGGUUGCACCUCCGCCUGAGCUGCUGAAGACGCCUUGAUCGACCGCGCGAAACCGUCAGAUCAGCCUCCCAGAGCUGUCGCGGCGAACACUCGACACCGCACCUUCGUUCGUUCCAGCCAGGGAGCCACCGAUCGAGAUGCUUCAUCGACUACCUGUGCUGGGUCGGUUUUUGCGCUCGAAGGACAGAGUGGUUUCGAGCUUUCCAAAUUUGCCGAAGAACAAACCGGUAAAAGGUCAAAGGUGACUGAGAUUUUCCUCGUCCACGGACAAAGAAGGAGAGCGUGUUCUACCGUUUCGGAGCUUCGAUUACAGAGACUACAAAAGGG
Molecule: long non-coding RNA, 428 nt
Organism: Eucalyptus grandis
Lineage: Eukaryota; Viridiplantae; Streptophyta; Magnoliopsida; Myrtales; Myrtaceae
Exons: 3
Source: RefSeq, a predicted model, not a curated record